Molecule: ribosomal RNA, 536 nt
Filed under: Kyklioacalles navieresi
Lineage: Eukaryota; Metazoa; Arthropoda; Insecta; Coleoptera; Curculionidae
Description: partial 16S ribosomal RNA
Rfam family: Bacterial large subunit ribosomal RNA
Source: RNAcentral
GUCCUUUUGAUUAUAAUUUAAGGUCUAGCCUGCCCAAUGAUGUAAAUUUAAUGGCCGCAGUAUACUGACUGUGCAAAGGUAGCAUAAUCAUUAGUUUUUUAAUUGAAAGCUUGUAUGAAAGGUUUGAUGAAAAAAAAAUUGUCUCUAGGUAAAGGUUUUGAAAUUUAUUUUUAAGUUAAAAAGCUUAAAUUAAUAUUGAAGACGAGAAGACCCUAUAGAGUUUUAUUUAUAUUAGUAAUAAAUUAAGUUUUAGAAUUUUAAAUUUGUAUUAUUAAGUAAAUUUAGUUGGGGUGAUUGAAAAAUUUAUUAAACUUUUUUUUUAUUUGAACAUUUAUUUAUGAGUUUAUGAUCCUUUUUAAGAUUAUAAGAUAAAAUUACCUUAGGGAUAACAGCGUAAUUUUUUUUAGAGUUCUUAUCGAAAAAAAAGAUUGCGACCUCGAUGUUGGAUUAAAAUUAAAUUUUUGGUGUAGAAGCUAAAAAAUUAGGUCUGUUCGACCUUUAAAUUUUUACAUGAUCUGAGUUUAAACCGGCGUAAG